RNAcentral lists this ribosomal RNA (518 nucleotides) under uncultured bacterium. RNAcentral's name for it is "bacterial SSU rRNA". It matches the Rfam family "Bacterial small subunit ribosomal RNA", at positions 8 to 518 of the family's 1533-position model. The record is from RNAcentral.
AGAGUUGAUCAUGGCUCAGGAUGAACGCUAGCUACAGGCUUAACACAUGCAAGUCGAGGGGCAGCAUAACGAAAGCUUGCUUUGUGAUGGCGACCGGCGCACGGGUGAGUAACGCGUAUCCAACCUUCCCUAUACUAGAGGAUAGCCCGGCGAAAGUCGGAUUAAUACUCUAUGUUCUUCGUAGAAGACAUCUGAAAUGAAGCAAAGGUUUACCGGUAUAGGAUGGGGAUGCGUCUGAUUAGGUUGUUGGCGGGGUAACGGCCCACCAAGCCCACGAUCAGUAGGGGUUCUGAGAGGAAGGUCCCCCACAUUGGAACUGAGACACGGUCCAAACUCCUACGGGAGGCAGCAGUGAGGAAUAUUGGUCAAUGGACGAGAGUCUGAACCAGCCAAGUAGCCGUGCAGGAUGACGGCCCUAUGGGUUGUAAACUGCUUUUAUACAGGGAUAAGUGACGUACGUGUACGUUUUUGUAGGUACUGUAUGAAUAAGGACCGGCUAAUUCCGUGCCAGCAGCCGC